AGUCGAGCGGCAGCGGGAGGAAGCUUGCUUCCUUGCCGGCGAGCGGCGGACGGGUGAGUAAGGUAUGGGGAUCUGGCCGAAGGCGGGGGAUAACCACUGGAAACGGUGGCUAAUACCGCAUAAUCUCUAAGGAGCAAAGUGGGGGACCGUUCAGGCCUCACACCUUCGGAUGAACCCAUAUGAGAUUAGCUAGUAGGUGGGGUAAUGGCUCACCUAGGCGACGAUCUCUAGCUGGUCUGAGAGGAUGAUCAGCCACACUGGGACUGAGACACGGCCCAGACUCCUACGGGAGGCAGCAGUGGGGAAUAUUGCACAAUGGGCGCAAGCCUGAUGCAGCCAUGCCGCGUGUAUGAAGAAGGCCUUCGGGUUGUAAAGUACUUUCAGUCGUGAGGAAGGUGUUAAGGUUAAUAACCUUAGCAAUUGACGUUAGCGACAGAAGAAGCACCGGCUAACUCCGUGCCAGCAGCCGCGGUAAUACGGAGGGUGCGAGCGUUAAUCGGAAUUACUGGGCGUAAAGGGCACGCAGGCGGUUAAUUAAGUUGGAUGUGAAAUCCCCGGGCUUAACCUGGGAAUGGCAUUCAAGACUGGUUAACUAGAGUCUUGUAGAGGGGGGUAGAAUUCCAUGUGUAGCGGUGAAAUGCGUAGAGAUGUGGAGGAAUACCGGUGGCGAAGGCGGCCCCCUGGACAAAGACUGACGCUCAUGUGCGAAAGCGUGGGGAGCAAACAGGAUUAGAUACCCUGGUAGUCCACGCUGUAAACGAUGUCGAUUUGGAGGUUGUGGUCAUGAACUGUGGCCUCCGGAGCUAACGCGUUAAAUCGACCGCCUGGGGAGUACGGCCGCAAGGUUAAAACUCAAAUGAAUUGACGGGGCCCGCACAAGCGGUGGAGCAUGUGGUUUAAUUCGAUGCAACGCGAAGAACCUUACCUACUCUUGACAUCCAGCGAAUC
Molecule: ribosomal RNA, 948 nt
Filed under: Arsenophonus endosymbiont of Hyalopterus amygdali
Lineage: Bacteria; Pseudomonadati; Pseudomonadota; Gammaproteobacteria; Enterobacterales; Morganellaceae
Description: bacterial SSU rRNA
Rfam family: Bacterial small subunit ribosomal RNA
Source: RNAcentral